GCCCUCGUAGCUCAGUGGAUAGAGCACGGCUCUCCUAAAGCCGGUGUCGUAGGUUCGAUUCCUAUCGAGGGCG
RNAcentral lists this transfer RNA (73 nucleotides) under Trueperella sp. RNAcentral's name for it is "tRNA-Arg". It matches the Rfam family "tRNA". Rfam says of the family: Transfer RNA (tRNA) molecules are approximately 80 nucleotides in length. Their secondary structure includes four short double-helical elements and three loops (D, anti-codon, and T loops). Lineage: Bacteria; Bacillati; Actinomycetota; Actinomycetes; Actinomycetales; Actinomycetaceae. The record is from RNAcentral.